Molecule: ribosomal RNA, 507 nt
Filed under: uncultured bacterium
Lineage: Bacteria
Description: bacterial SSU rRNA
Rfam family: Bacterial small subunit ribosomal RNA
Source: RNAcentral
GACGAACGCUGGCGGCGUGCCUAAUGCAUGCAAGUCGAGCGGGCUACAGUCUUCGGAUUGUAGCUUAGCGGCGAACGGGUGAGUAAACACGUAGGUAAUCUACCCUUCAGAGGAGGACAACCUCAGGAAACUGAGGCUAAACCUCCAUACGUUCAUAUGCAGGGAUGCAGAUGAAGAAAGAGUUACCCGUGAGGGUAGCUGCUGAAGGAUGAGCCUGCGGCCCAUCAGGUAGUUGGUGAGGUAACGGCUCACCAAGCCUAAGACGGGUAACCGGUCUGAGAGGGAUGUCCGGUCACACUGGGACUGAGACACGGUCCAGACUCCUACGGGAGGCAGCAGUGGGGAAUAUUGCGCAAUGGGGGAAACCCUGACGCAGCGACGCCGCGUGAGCGAAGAAGGCCUUCGGGUUGUAAAGCUCUGUUCUAAGGGACGAAGGACUUGGCUGUGAAUAAUGGUCAAGGGUGACGGUACCUUAGGAGAAAGCCCCGGCUAACUACGUGACAGCAC